Molecule: long non-coding RNA, 1005 nt
Filed under: Zalophus californianus (California sea lion)
Lineage: Eukaryota; Metazoa; Chordata; Mammalia; Carnivora; Otariidae
Description: lncRNA (ENSZCAG00015000546.1)
Source: RNAcentral
CGGACCUUAUUUGCUUGGCCAGGUAGGCGCCUGCUUCUGCUGGGUCUGGUGGCAGAUCGGGACGCCCUUGCCACCCCCAGGGGAACCGCCACCCCCACCGCUGGAGAAGCAGCCCCCGCCACCCCCGGAGGAGCCGCCGCCGCAGCCGGAGCCGCCGCCACCCCCACCACCGCUGGAGAAGCAGCCCCCGCUGCCACCGGACGAGCAGCCGCCGCCGCCGCCGCCGCCUCCGCCGCCGCCGCAGCUGGAGAAAUAGCCCCCGCCGCCCCCGGAGGAGCCGCCGACGCAACUGCCUCCGGAGGAUCCCCCUCCGUAGCUCUGCUGGGGCACGCACGAGGUCGGGGUGGUCUGCUGAGAGAAGUAGCCGGAGCCGCCGCCGGAGGAGCCCCCGCCGCAGCCGGAGCUUCCACUAGAGGAGCCGCCACCGCAGCCGGAGCUGCCGCCGCCCCCGGAGGAGCCACCACCCCCGCAGCCCCCGCUAGAGACGCCUCCGUAGCUCUGGCACUGGACCUGCUGACCGGAGUCGCCGCCGCCGCCGCCGCCGCCACCGGAGUAGCAGCUACUGCUGCCGCAGGAGGAGCCGCCGCCGCAGUCGGAGCCGCCGCCGCCCCCGGAAUAGCCACCCCCGCAGCCGGAGCCGCUGCGGCCGCCGCCUCCGGAGCUGCCACCACCCCCAGAGUACUUGACACUCCCACCGGAAUCUCCUCCGCAGCCUCCGGAGCCGCCGCCGCAGCCGGAGCCUUCGCCGCCACCAGAGUAGCCUCCGCAGCCAGAGCUGCUGCCGCCCCCGGAAUACUUGACGCUCACUCCCGAGCCGCCGCCGCCGCUAUGAAAGCCACAGCCGCCGGAGCCGCCGCCGCAGCCCGAGCUGCCGCCGCCGCUAUGGAAGCCACAGCCGCCGGAGCCGCCGCCAGAGCCGCCGCCGCCGCCGCCACCCGAGUUCUUCCCGCAACCCACUGGGGGCAUGGGGGUGGGCUGCUUUUUCUGGUGAGACAUCUCGUCUAA